CGAUCCGAAUUACUCUCCCAAUCCAAUCCGAUCCGAAUUAAAAUUCCGUUGUUUGGAUCUGAUCCGAAAAUCCGAAUUAUAAUACGUUAAUUUUUAGCGUCCAAUACGAUAACUACAAAAAAAAAACAAUAAUAAAAAUACCAUUUGUCCAAUCAAGCCUUAAAAUAAUACAAGUCUUGAAAAUAGUGAUAAUUAUUCAUCAUCAAGUCAAUAUUAAUUAUUACUUAGCUAGAAUAACUACAAGUCAUCACCAUUACAAGUUUACAACAACACUAUGCACAUAAUAUCAGCAACUAACUACAUGGCAUCACCAAAUUUUAGCGUUCAAUAGCAACACCGUAACUAAACAAUAAGUCAACAUAUUAGUCGUUGCUUAAUUUUACAAUUCGAUUUUCGGUUUGGUUUGGAUCCAAUUAGGGUCAAUCCAAUCCAAUCCGAAAAUCCGAAUUUUACAAAAAUCUCAAUCCAAUCCAAUCCGAUUUAAAGUUUGGAUCCGAUCCGAAUUGAUAAUUCAGUUUGGAUUGAAUUGGAUUUCGGUUUUAAUCCGAAUUAUGGACAUCCCUAGUUGUGAGGGUAGAUCAUUGAGAAUUUAGGGUUUGUUCUUAGGAAUUUGGGUGAAAUUUUGAGAGAAUUUUGUUGAGUGAAGAAGGAUGGGGAGUACAGAAGGAUUGGUGAAGCAACUUGGAGUGACAACGCCGAUUUCUAUGGCGGGACCUUCUGCUAUUGAUUUUCAGAAGACUCGGGAAUUUGAGAAGCGAUGACGAGGCGGCGAUGAGGGAAGCGAUUUUGGCUCGCCUUAGAGGGGAAGACCUGAGAAAGAUAAUUAAAGUGAAUAAGCCUCUAAAGACACCAUUUGGAAGGUUGUUGAAGUUAGCUGCCCAUGCAUUAGCAGAGAAUUAUGUACAAAAUUGGGAGGAUGAGUUUUGCUACAUUUUAGCUGUCAUUUUGAAGCAAAGUAAAGUAAAAAAAUUUAGGCAUGAGAUUGAUCCUGGGGCAAGGACAGCUGAUUUCGACAGGUAAGCUGAUUAUGAAAAUGAUCAUACUUCGUAUUUUGGUCUGCUAAAUGCUUUGUUAGAUUUCAGAGCAAAAGAGGAGAUCGAGGAGGAGGAAAGAGUUCAAGCUCUUCACCCUCUUAUGGGGUGUGCUGCAGAAUAUCAACCUCAGAAUGUGCAGCCUCACCGUUCAAAUUAAUUAAGAAAUGGAUUUGUGCAUAUUAAGUUAUGUUUUUGCUAUCUUAAAAUUUCAAGCCUUUACCAUGCCUUAUUUAUAUCUAUAAAAGUUUUGCUACUUUCAUGAAUUUGGGAAUCUUGGAUGACUAGGGUGAUGGCACAUAAUAUAAAAUGAGAAAAACCUAUUUUGUUAAUAAUUUUCGAUUUUUUACAUAAGUGCUUUGAAUUGGGGAUAAAGGUACAUGUAAGGGGAAAAAAAUUCCCAAAAGAUGUAAAAUUCUAUUGUAGUUUGUGUGGUUAACUACGUUACAAAGUAUUAGUUCUUGUUUGUUGUUUCUUAGUGAUUUUUGCAUUUGCUUAUUUAUGCUGGUUAUAAGAUAUAUGGCUUGUGUUACAUUACAAAUUACGCUAAUCAACAGAGCUAUAAGAUAGUGGUAAGCUUGGCAUGGUUGGCGGUGGGUUUUAUUAGGGUAAUUUGUGUGGUCUAGUCGUUAUUUGGUUUUGUCACAUGGUUUGUCUGGGUAUGUCAUAUGUAAUUUUCUUAAGGAUGGUGCUAUAGAGCUUGGUUAUCUCGUGCCUUCAGUUUUAUAUGUAUGGUACUUAUUACAUUUUGUGGGAAACUCUCUGCUCUAAUCUGUUAUUGAUUUUAGAAAUGUGUUUUUUUUUGCCUCUAUAUGUAGGUGACUUUGACACAGAGAUCUUAUUCUUCAUUUCUUGGUCCAUUUCUUAGUGUUUGGCAACUGUGCUCUUUGAACAGUUAUUUGCUAUUUUGGCUACGAAUUAGUAUUUAGAUUCUAUACAAUGUUAGUUUAUUAUGAUUUUGUCUUUGCAAAGCUUGUGUUUGUUAUUUUGUGCUUUUAUGUUUUGGUGUGCGUGUUUGAUGUAAAGCCUACUUUUCUUUUUGGAAAGAAUUUUUUAUUAUUUACUUUUAAUCCGCCAAAAUCAACUACAAGUAUCUUGGUUUUAAUACUACUGUUAAACAGCCAAACUUUACAAAGUAAUACUCAACCAUUGGCAAAAUUCAACUAUUUUGUGUUAUAAUAAAAUCUAUUGAGGUAUUGACCCCUUAUCUCAAAUUCUUGAUCUGAUACUAAUAGUAUUGAUACUCUAAUAUCAAUUUGUUAUAAAUCUCAUUAGUAUCUUAUUUAUAAUUUUGUAAAGUAUUGACUUAUAAAUCUUAGUUUUAUACAAAGUACUUGAAUAUAUUAUACUCCAUGAUUAUGUAAUAUUAGUUUGGAAUAAAUCUGUAUGCCACCUAUACCUAAGAGUGGCUUGACUUUAAAUUGCAGGCAGUUGGACCGUGGGAGUUUGGGUUAGCAAGCACCCGAGCAAUUAUGUAAUGACUGCAUGCAAGCAAUUCAUUCGUUCUUGCCGUUUGUCAGAGACCCAAGUAGCAUUGAGAAUACUUAGGUGGUUCAAAGGAGGCACCAAGUUACAAAACCUGAGCAACUAAAGGCAGAACCUCCGACUCCACCAGAGCAACCAAAGGUAGAACCGCAGACCCUCUGAUUCCACCUCAGCAACCAAAGACAGAACCUCUUGCACCUCCUCAGCAAGACAGCAACCGUAGACAGAACCUCAUCAUGUAACUCCAAUUUGAUAUUUUUAUAGAUUCUCUAAGUUACAGAAGAUCUAAAAGGCAAAGAACUAUGUCUUAAAGCUGCUGAGUUGCUCACAAGGCUUGGAAGAAGGGCUAUAUCUCCGUCAGAUGCCUGCCAGGUCUAUUCACUUCUUCACCAGCAAGUCUGGUAAAGUCUUAACAAAUUUCUGUGUAAAAACUAGCGUGUUUUUAUUUUAUUUUACCCUUAAUUAACAAUGUCUUCUGCUUGUCUUGUUCUCAAUCUGUAUAAUCAACUCGCUGCUAAAGUUAUGCAGCUAAGGCUCAAAAAGAAAAUAUGCAGAAGCUGAGAAACUUCUGGUUAGUUUCUUUGAUAUUUUUAUAUCUCUGACUUCAGUGUUGUAUCCUCCCUCCCAAAAAAAAUUUAUGUAUUUGAAAUAAAAGGUAAGCAGUGACAAUUUGGGUUUAUUCGCAAGCUGUUACAAGUUUAGUUACAUAACCUGAUAUGUGAGUAGGUGAUAUAGAAUAUAAUAUGGCAUUUAUAUAGGAUAAAUCUCAAAAUUAUGCUAUAAUGAGGUCGAUUAUCCUGCUCUUUUUGCCCAUAUGUUUUUCUUUAAUAUAAACAUAGUUGUCUGUCUUUAUUUUGUAAGCUAUAGAGUUUUUCUUAAAGACUUUGCUUUAACUAGAGCUGUCCAUCUGUAUUUUCGCCGGAGAGAAGCUGAAAUCAAUAUAGUGAAUCAAGAUGCAGGGGAGAGAUUAGUAAAACUAAGAAAUGAUGUCAGUUCGAGCAGGUAUACAUUACAUCAUUUCUCUUUUAUAUUGUUCUUAUUCUUACUUGAAGCAAAGUUGACUUAAAACCCUUCUGGACAUUGUCACAAAGUAAGAUAAUUUAUGUUUUACUUUUGUUUUAUUACGUACAUCAUUUAUACCAUAAGAAUUUGUGAUGUGAGUUGCUUUAGUAAAUUGUUAUUAUCAAGUCAUUGAUCUCCGUUAUAGAAAUUAACAUUAUGCAUAUAUUACGUCACUUGUUAGCUAAUAUUAAAUUUACAAAAUGGCACUGGUUAUCUAUUUUGUAAAUUUUGUCAGAUAUCCUUAAUUAUGAGUUGUAUGCCAUGUUGAUGAUGUGAGAAUAGAUACUUGAUGGAUAAUCAGACACCAUUUAGAUUAAAAUUAUUUGGUAAAAACAAUGAUUCUCUACAACAAAAUAAGGGAUUUCAAAACAAAAUAAGGGACACCACUUAGAUUAAAAUUAUUUGGUAGUAGUUCGGACUUAACUAAAUCUUCGAUCCUUUGACAUUGACAUAUGCAUUAUUAAAAGAUACAAAAUGAGAGUAGAAGCUUUAUUAUUUCUAAGAAAAGAAAAUAGAAGCUUUAAUUAAGAAUAAGUGUAUAAUAUAUGAUCCGAUACAAUAUUAUUAAAUAAUAAAAGUAUCAUAUUUAUAUAUAAAAAUUGUGGUCGAAGUAGUUUCUUAACACCAAUACAAGAAACUAAGGUGGAUUCUUAUGUCCAUAAGAUCCAUCAAGAAGACAUUUUUGGUAGUUAAUUAUAAUUCUAGGAGACAUUUAGUUUAAACAAAUACAUCUAUUUGGUGCAACAAAAGUAAAGCUAAGGUGUAUGUAUCUUAUGCAAUUAUUGUAAAUAUUUCAUAUAUACAUAAUCUAAAUAAAUUAAAUUACUCUAAACAAAUGAUAUUUUUUUUAAUUUUAUCUAUCUAAUUAUUUGAAAUGGAAAUGCGAGGGCUAGCCAAGUGAAGAUUUUGAAAUUGAAAUAGUUAAUUGAAUAGGACACGGAUCAUUAAAAAAAAAAAACUUGAUAUCUAGAUUUUUAAAGAGUUGGUAGAUUGUUGAAACUUGUAAUUAUAUUGAAAAUUACUCUAUAUAAAGGGUAAUACCCUGUAUUAGUUUAUUGAUCAAAGAAGCAUAUUUACAUUACAAAUACACAUGUUGAUGGGCUACAUGGGUGGUUGCAAAUGGUUAAAUGCACCCAAUCAUACGCUCCUGGAAAAACACAAUUUUACAAUAAAAAAACAUAUAAGCUUAUUACAACUCUUAAAUAAAUACUACUUAUAGUUGUGCAAGAGAAACAGCUGCAAGCCUGGAACAGAAGAGGAGAGAAGAUGAUGGUGAUAUGCAAUUGACUCAACUGAUUAAUUUUACAGAAAAAUCAUAGCAAUGGAUUCUCCAGCUGUGGCUACGAAAGAUAACAAGCUAUUUAAGGGAGUUGUUGCAGGCGGCGGAACCAUGGUGCUCUCGUCAUCUAUGGUGUUUUACAUGUUUAAACUCUAAUUAUGGCCAGUUAUUUGUAAAACCAUUAAAUAUUACAUGGUUUCUCAGAGAUUAAUUCAAGUUGGUAAACUAUUCUAAAUGUAGUUCUUGCCUUGGAUUAUAUUGCAGUUGGGAAUUAUUUGUCAUUGUUUUAA
This is an RNA transcript of Chenopodium quinoa (quinoa), 5147 nucleotides long. RefSeq lists it as uncharacterized. The transcript is spliced from 5 exons. The record is from RefSeq and is a predicted model, not a curated record. NCBI's taxonomy places the organism in Eukaryota, Viridiplantae, Streptophyta, Magnoliopsida, Caryophyllales, Amaranthaceae.